UUGAACGCUGGCGGCAGGCCUAACACCUGCAAGUCGAGCGGAUGAGGGGAGCUUGCUCCUGGAUUCAGCGGCGGACGGGUGAGUAAUGCCUAGGAAUCUGCCUGGUAGUGGGGGAUAACGUCCGGAAACGGGCGCUAAUACCGCAUACGUCCUGAGGGAGAAAGUGGGGGAUCUUCGGACCUCACGCUAUCAGAUGAGCCUAGGUCGGAUUAGCUAGUUGGUGGGGUAAAGGCCUACCAAGGCGACGAUCCGUAACUGGUCUGAGAGGAUGAUCAGUCACACUGGAACUGAGACACGGUCCAGACUCCUACGGGAGGCAGCAGUGGGGAAUAUUGGACAAUGGGCGAAAGCCUGAUCCAGCCAUGCCGCGUGUGUGAAGAAGGUCUUCGGAUUGUAAAGCACUUUAAGUUGGGAGGAAGGGCAGUAAGUUAAUACCUUGCUGUUUUGACGUUACCAACAGAAUAAGCACCGGCUAACUUCGUG
RNAcentral lists this ribosomal RNA (483 nucleotides) under uncultured bacterium. RNAcentral describes it as "partial 16S ribosomal RNA". It matches the Rfam family "Bacterial small subunit ribosomal RNA", at positions 30 to 507 of the family's 1533-position model. The record is from RNAcentral.